This 512-nucleotide long non-coding RNA is filed under the name Zonotrichia albicollis (white-throated sparrow). RNAcentral's name for it is "lncRNA (ENSZALG00000012391.1)". The record is from RNAcentral. Lineage: Eukaryota; Metazoa; Chordata; Aves; Passeriformes; Passerellidae.
GCCGGAAGCAGCCUGACCAGCCCGGGCGCGGGACCAUUCGGUAAUUCAUAACGUCAGGUGCCAGCUGGGUCAAAGACAACAGCAUCUGGAAAAAGAGAGCAGCGAGCCAGGUGUCCAUGGCCUGGAGCAUUCUGCAGCCCCCCGGCAUGCUCUGGUGUCUUGUCUGCAGGUGUACCAGCUGCCAGGAGUCUGUCUCAGUACCAAGAGAGCCUCCAAAACAAAACACAUCUCUGAUGCAUCUUCAACACCUGUGUGUUCGGUGUGCCAAUGCGCUCUCUUCGGUCACUAGAUGGCAAUAAAGACCCAACGUGGUCUUCCAGGGCAGCGGGGAGGAUAGUAGAGCUCGGCCUGGAUUUCCCCAGGAGACAGAACUGGAAGAUACUAGAGAAGACAAGAACGAGAAGCUUAGCCCUGCUGGGAGUGUUUUGGAUGCAGACUAUUUGCUGGGGUAACUGAGCUCUGAGGUAUUUAAUCUCUCUCAUUGUAAAAUCAAACAAAAAAAAAUCCUCAAA